This 492-nucleotide ribosomal RNA is filed under the name uncultured bacterium. RNAcentral's name for it is "partial 16S ribosomal RNA". It matches the Rfam family "Bacterial small subunit ribosomal RNA", at positions 30 to 507 of the family's 1533-position model. The record is from RNAcentral.
AUUGAACGCUGGCGGCAUGCUUUACACAUGCAAGUCGAACGGUAACAGGCCUUCGGUUGCUGACGAGUGGCGAACGGGUGAGUAAUGCAUCGGAACGUGCCCAGAGGUGGGGGAUAACGCAGCGAAAGCUGUGCUAAUACCGCAUGUGAUCUGAGGAUGAAAGCGGGGGACCAAGCAGCAAUGUUUGGCCUCGCGCCUCUGGAGCGGCCGAUGUCAGAUUAGGUAGUUGGUGGGGUAAAGGCCUACCAAGCCGACGAUCUGUAGCUGGUCUGAGAGGACGACCAGCCACACUGGGACUGAGACACGGCCCAGACUCCUACGGGAGGCAGCAGUGGGGAAUUUUGGACAAUGGGCGCAAGCCUGAUCCAGCAAUGCCGCGUGCGGGAAGAAGGCCUUCGGGUUGUAAACCGCUUUUGUACGGAACGAAAAGGCUCUGGCUAAUACCUGGGGCUGAUGACGGUACCGUAAGAAUAAGCACCGGCUAACUACGUG